This 822-nucleotide ribosomal RNA is filed under the name uncultured bacterium. RNAcentral describes it as "bacterial SSU rRNA". It matches the Rfam family "Bacterial small subunit ribosomal RNA", at positions 659 to 1487 of the family's 1533-position model. The record is from RNAcentral.
AGGCGGAAUGUGUAGUGUAGCGGUGAAAUGCAUAGAUAUUACACAGAACACCAAUUGCGAAGGCAGCUUACUAAACUAUAACUGACGCUGAUGCACGAAAGCGUGGGUAGCGAACAGGAUUAGAUACCCUGGUAGUCCACGCCGUAAACGAUGAUUACUCGUUGCAUGCGAUACACUGUAUGUGACUUAGCGAAAGCAUUAAGUAAUCCACCUGGGGAGUACGUUGGCAACAAUGAAACUCAAAGGAAUUGACGGGGGCCCGCACAAGCGGAGGAACAUGUGGUUUAAUUCGAUGAUACGCGAGGAACCUUACCUGGACUUAAAUGUAGCGUGACCGUACUUGAAAAGAGUAUUUCUCUUCGGAGCAGGUUACAAGGUGCUGCAUGGCUGUCGUCAGCUCGUGCCGUGAGGUGUCGGGUUAAGUCCCAUAACGAGCGCAACCCCUAUUGUUAGUUGCUAACAGGUCAAGCUGAGGACUCUAGCGAGACUGCCACCGUAAGGUGAGAGGAAGGUGGGGAUGACGUCAAGUCAGCACGGCCCUUACGUCCAGGGCUACACACGUGUUACAAUGGUCGGUACAGAGAGCAGCUACUUGGUGACAAGAUGCGAAUCUUUUAAAGCCGGUCUUAGUUCGGAUCGAAGUCUGCAACUCGACUUCGUGAAGUUGGAUUCGCUAGUAAUCGCAUAUCAGCCAUGAUGCGGUGAAUACGUUCCCGGGCCUUGUACACACCGCCCGUCAAGCCAUGGAAGCUGGGGGGUACCUGAAGUCCGUAACCGUAAAGGAUCGGCCUAGGGGUAAAACUGGUAACUGGGGGCUAAGUC